UACGUAGGGGGCAAGCGUUGUCCGGAUUUAUUGGGCGUAAAGAGCGUGUAGGCGGUUAUGCAGGUCCGCUGUGAAAACUGGAGGCUUAACCUCCAGACGUCGGUGGAAACCUCAUGACUAGAGUCCGGAAGAGGAGAGUGGAAUUCCUGGUGUAGCGGUGAAAUGCGCAGAUAUCAGGAAGAACACCCGUGGCGAAGGCGGCUCUCUGGGACGGUACUGACGCUGAGACGCGAAAGCGUGGGGAGCGAACAGG
Molecule: ribosomal RNA, 253 nt
Filed under: uncultured bacterium
Lineage: Bacteria
Description: partial 16S ribosomal RNA
Rfam family: Bacterial small subunit ribosomal RNA
Source: RNAcentral